Molecule: ribosomal RNA, 702 nt
Filed under: Pectobacterium carotovorum subsp. carotovorum
Lineage: Bacteria; Pseudomonadati; Pseudomonadota; Gammaproteobacteria; Enterobacterales; Pectobacteriaceae
Description: bacterial SSU rRNA
Rfam family: Bacterial small subunit ribosomal RNA
Source: RNAcentral
UUUUGGGUGAAAGCGGCGGACGGGUGAGUAAUGUCUGGGAAACUGCCUGAUGGAGGGGGAUAACUACUGGAAACGGUAGCUAAUACCGCAUAACGUCUUCGGACCAAAGAGGGGGACCUUCGGGCCUCUUGCCAUCAGAUGUGCCCAGAUGGGAUUAGCUAGUAGGUGAGGUAAUGGCUCACCUAGGCGACGAUCCCUAGCUGGUCUGAGAGGAUGACCAGCCACACUGGAACUGAGACACGGUCCAGACUCCUACGGGAGGCAGCAGUGGGGAAUAUUGCACAAUGGGCGCAAGCCUGAUGCAGCCAUGCCGCGUGUGUGAAGAAGGCCUUCGGGUUGUAAAGCACUUUCAGCGGGGAGGAAGGCGGUGAGGUUAAUAACCUCAUCGAUUGACGUUACCCGCAGAAGAAGCACCGGCUAACUCCGUGCCAGCAGCCGCGGUAAUACGGAGGGUGCAAGGGUUAAUCGGAAUGACUGGGCGUAAAGCGCACGCAGGCGGUUUGUUAAGUCAGAUGUGAAAUCCCCGAGCUUAACUUGGGAACUGCAUUUGAAACUGGCAAGCUAGAGUCUUGUAGAGGGGGGUAGAAUUCCAGGUGUAGCGGUGAAAUGCGUAGAGAUCUGGAGGAAUACCGGUGGCGAAUGCGGCCCCCUGGACAAAGACUGACGCUCAUGUGCAAAAGCGUGGGGAGCAAACAGGAUUAG